UUUCCGUAGGUGAACCUGCGGAAGGAUCAUUAACGUAUCUCUGACGGGGCGCGGUCGCCCUGCUCCGGUCCCCUAGGGGUCGUGCAGCGGGUGACCGUCCCUACUCAAACCUUCACAAACCCACCGUGAACCUUCACGACGGAAGGGCGUCGCCGCCCGGAAGUCGCAUACCAAACCCCAGUUGCAAAGAAUGUAAUGCGGACUCUGUGCCGCCUAAACACAUAACAACUUUCAACAACGGAUCUCUUGGCUCUCGCAUCGAUGAAAACGCAGC
This 274-nucleotide unclassified non-coding RNA is filed under the name uncultured fungus. Its description in RNAcentral is "sequence contains ITS1, 5.8S rRNA gene". The stretch from base 227 to 274 matches the Rfam family "5.8S ribosomal RNA", at positions 1 to 49 of the family's 154-position model. The record is from RNAcentral. Lineage: Eukaryota; Fungi.